CUUUAUGGCGGCUGUGUUUGGGACGCUUCGGCGUGCCCGGGUUAUCUCUCCCUGGUUUGACCAACCUGAACACAGUCCGCCUCCCAA
Pseudomonas sp. GM78 is the source of this 87-nucleotide non-coding RNA. The record is from Rfam. Lineage: Bacteria; Pseudomonadati; Pseudomonadota; Gammaproteobacteria; Pseudomonadales; Pseudomonadaceae.